Molecule: transfer RNA, 76 nt
Filed under: Epseptimavirus EPS7
Lineage: Duplodnaviria; Heunggongvirae; Uroviricota; Caudoviricetes; Demerecviridae
Description: Enterobacteria phage EPS7 tRNA
Rfam family: tRNA
About the family: Transfer RNA (tRNA) molecules are approximately 80 nucleotides in length. Their secondary structure includes four short double-helical elements and three loops (D, anti-codon, and T loops). Further hydrogen bonds mediate the characteristic L-shaped molecular structure. tRNAs have two regions of fundamental functional importance: the anti-codon, which is responsible for specific mRNA codon recognition, and the 3' end, to which the tRNAs corresponding amino acid is attached (by aminoacyl-tRNA synthetases). tRNAs cope with the degeneracy of the genetic code in two manners: having more than one tRNA (with a specific anti-codon) for a particular amino acid; and 'wobble' base-pairing, i.e. permitting non-standard base-pairing at the 3rd anti-codon position.
Source: Rfam by way of RNAcentral
CUCCGUGUAGCUCAGUUUGGCCAGAGCGUUUCGUUUGGGGCGAUAGGGUCGGGGGGUUCAAAUCCUCCCACGGAGA